Molecule: long non-coding RNA, 4706 nt
Filed under: Sus scrofa (pig)
Lineage: Eukaryota; Metazoa; Chordata; Mammalia; Artiodactyla; Suidae
Description: lncRNA (ENSSSCG00000052134.1)
Source: RNAcentral
CCCAACAAUUGUUGGUUCUUUGUGCAGCAGUUCUCAUUCUCCCACACAUGUGAACAUCUCCAGUGGGAUGGGAGCGGUUGCUUGGCAGGACAGCCCCUGUCACUCACUUCUAUUUGAAUAAGCCAGAUAUUUCUGACUGCCCACAAGUUCCAUAACUUGGAGCCUGGCACAGGAUAUUUUAAGAAGGGAUGUUGGCUCUCUCCACGUCCACAUUGCAGAGUCUGAAAAUCCUUGGUACCUUGUCAGGCUGAGUGUCCAUAAUCAGAAUGGUCUUGUAGCUUCUGAAAUGACAGUGAUAACUUACACUAAAGUAUUUAGGCCCUGUACCUGGCAAAUAGUAUGUCCCCAGGAAGUCCCCUCCCUCGUCUGCAGUAAUGGAGCAGCCAUGUAUGCUGGGUGUCUCUGUCUUAUCUACUAGAAUAGCAAGAAAAUCUACUACUUUCUCAUAGGGGAAGAAUUAACAGAAAAAAGUCUUUUGCUCCGUAGAAACAAAUUUUGUUACUAUUUAGCUUGUUAUUUUAUUACAUGGAACACAUAUAAAAUGAACAAAAUUUUUACUCCGUAUAACAUUUUGAUUCUCAUGGUUUAGAGUUAAUGGAAGUAUUUUGCAGUAAAGAAUUAGGAACACUAGAUGUCAGGAGAGAAGCAGAUAAUGUGAUGUUUAACAGGUUGAGCUUAUGUUCAGCCUUUUAGGAUAGUGGAUUUUAUUUAGCUUCUGAUUCUGUGGGUCUGCUGGGUGGCCCUUUAGUCUGGGCAGGUAGUGAGUACUACUCAUGUGCCCUGCCUGAGACCCAGGUCCUUCCAGAGCAAGCCUAUGAGGCACUGAAGGCAUUGAGAGAAGGUUAAGUCAAUUCUGCAUCUGUGAACUGUGUCUUUGUCCAGGAGUUGUGCCAGGUGGCUACUGUUGUCCUUUCAAAACAUUAAUAUAGAACUGAUUUGAUGAUUUUCUGCCAUGUGCUUUGAUUCCCUUCUCUUUAUCUUUUGUUUAUCUGCUUUAGGUUUUUGCUUAGUGGUGACCAUGAGGCUUACAUAGAACGUCUUCAUUUUGUAACAGUCUCUUUUAAGCCGAUAACUUUUUUUUUUGGUCUUUUGAGGGCUGCAUCCAUGGCAUAUGGAAGUUCUCAGGCUAGGUGAUGAAUCGGAGCUGUAGCUACUGGCCUACACAUCACAGCCACAGCAAUGCCAGAUCUGAGCCACACCUUUGACCUAUACUACAGCUCAUGGCAAUGCUGGAUACUUAACCCACUGAGCGAGGCCAGGGAUGGAACCCUCAUCUUCAUAGAUCCUAGUUGGGUUUGUUACCAGUGAGCUACAACAGGAACUCCUAAGCUUAUAACUUUAAACACAUACAAAAGCUGUACAUUUUUCCACUUCCCCUAAUAUUUUAUGCUUUUUUAUGUCACAAUUUAUAUCUUAUUAUAUUGUGUAUCCAUUAACAAAUUAUUGUAAUCAUUUUUAAUACCUUUGUCUUUUAACCUUUAUGCUAUUUAUAUAUGAUUUGCCCACUACCAUUACAAUAUUAGAGUAUUCCAAAUUAACUGUAUAUUUACUUUUACCAGUGAGUUUUAUACUUUUGUGUUUUUUCUAUGCCAUACUUUCAUAUGUUUUCAUGUUAUUUAUUACCAUCCUUUUAUUUCAGCUUGAAGAACUCCCUCUAAUAUUUCUUAUAAGACCUCUCUAGUUGUGAUGAAGUCCUUUAGCUUUUGUUUGUUUGAGAAAUGCUUUUUCUCUACUUUAAUUCUAAAGGGCAACUUUGCUAGAUAGAGCAUUCUUGGUUGGCAGCUUUUUUUCUUUCAGUGCUUUGAAUAUAUCAUCCCAGUUCCUUCUGGCCUACAAAGUUUCUGCUGAACAAUCUGCUUAUAGUCUUAUGGAGGUUCUUUUGUCAUAAGUUGUUUUUCUCGUGUGCUUUUAAAAUUCUUUUUGUCUUUGCCUUUUGAAAAUUCAUUUACACUGUGUCUUGUUGUGAGUCUCUUUGGAUUCAUCUUAUUUGAAGUCUAGAGCUUUCUUAAAUCUGGAUAUCCCUCUUUCCCCAUUUUAGGGAAGUUUUCAGCUGUUACUACUUUUCAAAAGUUUUCUGCUUCUUUGCUGUUAUCUUCUGCUUCUGCAACUCGUAGAAAGCAUAUAUUGGUCUCCUUGUUGGUGUUCCCUAAGUCCCUUAAGCUAUUUUUACUCUUUUUCAUUAAAGAAUUUUUUUUGUUCCUCUGAUUAGAUGAAUUCUACUGCCCUGUCCAAAGACAAAGUUCACUAAUCCUUUUUUCUGCUUUAUCUAAUCUAUGUUGAAUUUUAGUUCCAUUACUAUGCUCUUCUGCUCUAUGAUUUCCAUUUGGUACUUCAUUACAUUAUCUGUCUUGUUGAAAUUCUCACUUUGCUCAUUCAGUGCUCUCCUGACACCUGUGAGUAUCUUAUGUCCAUAUUCUGAACUCUAUUGGGUAAAUCACUUAUAUCUGUUAUAUUAAGAUAGGUUUUUUGAGAUUUAUUUUGUUCUGUUUUGAACGUAUUUCUGUUUCUUUAUUUUCUUUGACUGUCUGGGUUGGUUUUUGCACACUAGAUAAAGAAGUCACCUCUUCCAGACUUUUCCAACUGGUGUCACAUAGGAGCUGAAACUUGUCAGUCAACCUGGCCUGGGCUUCUGGUUGUUUCUCUGAUCUUUGCAAAUGUCUAAGCUGCUGUCUUUUUUUUCUUAGUGGCUUCCAGUAGUUGAGAGUGUGCUGAGACCCAUCAGCAUACCAGAGGGGAGGAUUGCAGUCAGCAUCUGUAAUGCAGACUGUCUAGAAAUCUGACCCUGAGGCAGUACCUGGGAAAGUACACAGUCAACCCUUCCAGGAGAAACUGGGAAGAGGCAGUUUUGCCUCCUCCCCUUGCUGACCCUGAAUGUAUCGCCACAGGGCAUGCUCCUGCAUCUAUUUAAAAACUGCUUCUUUGCUUACUAUAGUCCUUUGGGACUUGCAAGCAAAGCCCUGUUGUUGGUUUGCAGAGGUGGGACAGUUGAGGCCUAUCCCUUGGAUGACAGCCAUAAUGUUGGGGUGCUAGAUGCAUGGACAGCUCCUUCCAGGAAGAUACUGUAGACUUGGUUUUAUUGUUGGAGUGAGCUGGGGGGAGAAGGUGGGGGACUCACCCACCAGCUUACUUGGGCUCUAGGACAGAUCAUUUAGUACCUAGAUUCACAAUAAUUAGAAACAAGACCCACAGGGCAGCAGAUUGUAAAGGAUGCAGCUAAGUCCUUUCCAAAGAUGGAUGAUUUUGCCCUCCCCCUCUGCACUGAGCCCUAGGGGAUAGCCAAGUUGAGUGCACUUGUGCCCAUUAGCAGAGGCUUCUUUGUUUGAAGAGUACUCUAGGACUUGGGAUGCAAGCCCUGUUGGCUUUCAGAGAUAAGUGAUUUGGGAGCCUAUCUCUCAGGAGGCGGCCUUUAAAGCUGGGGCACUAAAUGUACAACCCAUACCUUUUGCUCCACAGGGAGCAUCUGGGAGUUGGGGUUUCCCUUCCAGUUGGGGUUUGGGGUUAUCGUAGGAGUGUGUCUCAGCCUCUUCUACCCAGUUUUUUUUUGUUGUUGUUUGCUUUUUAGGGCUGCCCUUGCAGCAUAUGGAAGUUCCCAGGCUAGGGGUCGAAUUGGAGCUGUAGCUGCAGGCCUAUGCCAUAGCCACGGAAACUUGGGAUCUGAGCCUCAUCUGUGACCUACAACCACAGUUCACGGCAAUGCCAGAUCCUUAACCCACUGAGCAAGGCCAGGGAUUGAAUCCUCAUCCUCAAGGAUCCUAGUCAGAUCAUUAACAGUGGAACCAAGAAGGGAACUCUGUCUCCUACCCAUUUUGAUGUGGGUAUUUUCUCUGUUAUCGUGUAGGAGUCACUUAGCUAGUGUCUGGAUUUCUCUCCAAGAGGGAUUUGUUCCUUGUGUAGCUGUGUGUUAGGUGUAUCUAUGGGAGGAGAGAAAUUCCAGAGCCUACUUAUGUUGCCUUCUUGGUCUAGACCUAGAUUUUUUUUUUUUUCCUUUUGAUGUUUGUCCCUUUCUUUAAGCCUAAAAAAUCCUUUCCUGUUUUUUGUUUUCUUUUCUUUUUGUCUUUUUAGGGCCACAUUUGUAGCAUAUAGAAGUUCCUGGGUUAGGAGUCAAAUCAGAGCUGUAGCUGCUGGCCUACACCACAGUUCAGGGCAAUGCUGGACCCUUAACCCAUUAUUGAGUGAGGGAAUGAACCUGAUUCCUCAUGGACGCUAGUUGAGUUCGUUAUUGCUGAGCCAUGAUGGGAACUCCUCCUUCCCUCUUUUUUGCUCUGUUUUCUUCUUUUUUUCCUCUUAUUUUCAUGGUACGUGUGACUGUAACAAUCAAAAUUGACUUUAGAGCAUGGUAUGGAGUUAGCAGCUCAUUUUUUCCUAUAUUUACAACCAGUUUUUCUAGCAUCACAUCAAAUAAUUGUCCUUCCCUACUUAUUUACAAUGCUGUCUAUAGAAUGUACUAAAUUAUUAUCAAUACUGUUUUGUAUUAUUUUGUUUCCUUAAUUUCUGCUUAUUCUUCUGCCAGUAGUACUAAUUAUAAUGGCUUUGUAAUAUAUUUUAAUGUAUGGCCAAUCCUUUAUUAUUUUUUUAAAAGAAUUUGUUUUAAUAUCCUUUCCCUUUUAUAUGUUAAAUGAAUUUGAGGAUUAUUUUGUUGAGUCCUCAAAACCUUCCCCCUUAUCAACAUGGAUUUUAUUGGAAAUAUAAGCCUAUAUUUUUCCUUG